AUCGCUCGGCCUUUUGGCUAAGAUCAAGUGUAGUAUCUGUUCUUAUCAGUUUAAUAUCUGAUACGCCCCCGAUUCGGGGGCAACGUAUUAAACGCAUUUUUAGAACAGGGAGCUGAAUAAGGGGCUCGCUCCGUUCGCUCCACGCAUCGACCCGGUAUUGCAGCGCCUCCGGGAACGGUGCCCCCUUU
This is a small nuclear RNA of Oreochromis aureus, 188 nucleotides long. Its record names the gene U2. It matches the Rfam family "U2 spliceosomal RNA". Rfam says of the family: U2 is a small nuclear RNA (snRNA) component of the spliceosome (involved in pre-mRNA splicing). Complementary binding between U2 snRNA (in an area lying towards the 5' end but 3' to hairpin I) and the branchpoint sequence (BPS) of the intron results the bulging out of an unpaired adenosine, on the BPS, which initiates a nucleophilic attack at the intronic 5' splice site, thus starting the first of two transesterification reactions that mediate splicing. The record is from Ensembl. Lineage: Eukaryota; Metazoa; Chordata; Actinopteri; Cichliformes; Cichlidae.